UACAGAGGUCUCGAGCGUUGUUCGGAUUCAUUGGGCGUGAAGGGUGCGUAGGUGGCGCUGUAAGUCGGGUGUGAAAUCCUGGGGCUUAACCCCGGAACUGCAUUCGAUACUGCCGUGCUUGAGGACUGGAGAGGAGACUGGAAUUUACGGUGUAGCGGUGAAAUGCGUAGAUAUCGUAAGGAAGACCAGUGGCGAAGGCGGGUCUCUGGACAGUUCCUGACGCUGAGGCACGAAGGUCAGGGGAGCAAACGGG
This 253-nucleotide ribosomal RNA is filed under the name uncultured bacterium. RNAcentral describes it as "partial 16S ribosomal RNA". It matches the Rfam family "Bacterial small subunit ribosomal RNA", at positions 524 to 776 of the family's 1533-position model. The record is from RNAcentral.